Molecule: ribosomal RNA, 874 nt
Filed under: Bacillus subtilis
Lineage: Bacteria; Bacillati; Bacillota; Bacilli; Caryophanales; Bacillaceae
Description: bacterial SSU rRNA
Rfam family: Bacterial small subunit ribosomal RNA
Source: RNAcentral
UUUUUACUGCUCAUGACGACGCUGGCGGCGUGCUAUACAUGCAAGUCGAGCGGACAGAUGGGAGCUUGCUCCUGAUGUAGCGGCGGACGGGUGAGUAACACGUGGGUAACCUGCCUGUAAGACUGGGAUAACUCCGGGAAACCGGGGCUAAUACCGGAUGGUUGUUUGAACCGCAUGGUUCAAACAUAAAAGGUGGCUUCGGCUACCACUUACAGAUGGACCCGCGGCGCAUUAGCUAGUUGGUGAGGUAACGGCUCACCAAGGCAACGAUGCGUAGCCGACCUGAGAGGGUGAUCGGCCACACUGGGACUGAGACACGGCCCAGACUCCUACGGGAGGCAGCAGUAGGGAAUCUUCCGCAAUGGACGAAAGUCUGACGGAGCAACGCCGCGUGAGUGAUGAAGGUUUUCGGAUCGUAAAGCUCUGUUGUUAGGGAAGAACAAGUACCGUUCGAAUAGGGCGGUACCUUGACGGUACCUAACCAGAAAGCCACGGCUAACUACGUGCCAGCAGCCGCGGUAAUACGUAGGUGGCAAGCGUUGUCCGGAAUUAUUGGGCGUAAAGGGCUCGCAGGCGGUUUCUUAAGUCUGAUGUGAAAGCCCCCGGCUCAACCGGGGAGGGUCAUUGGAAACUGGGGAACUUGAGUGCAGAAGAGGAGAGUGGAAUUCCACGUGUAGCGGUGAAAUGCGUAGAGAUGUGGAGGAACACCAGUGGCGAAGGCGACUCUCUGGUCUGUAACUGACGCUGAGGAGCGAAAGCGUGGGGAGCGAACAGGAUUAGAUACCCUGGUAGUCCACGCCGUAAACGAUGAGUGCUAAGUGUUAGGGGGUUUCCGCCCCUUAGUGCUGCAGCUAACGCAUAAGCACUCCGCUGG